ACAAACCUAUCAUAGUACCCACAUUAGUUAUGUACACAAAUAUGAGGUAAUCGAAACAAUGAAAUAUUACAUUGGGAAUAUUUGAGUAUUUUAAGAAUAGGUGAGGUGAAGUGAGAAUUCAUGGAGAGGUUAGUUACUUGGGUGGAGGAUUAUACUCUUUUUCUAUUUUAUGUAAAUGGUUCAAGAAGGAUUCUACCAUUAUAGGCCCAA
Molecule: long non-coding RNA, 210 nt
Filed under: Elaeis guineensis (African oil palm)
Lineage: Eukaryota; Viridiplantae; Streptophyta; Magnoliopsida; Arecales; Arecaceae
Description: long non-coding RNA (EGUI_LNC024810)
Source: RNAcentral